Long non-coding RNA from Equus caballus (horse), 2797 nucleotides. Lineage: Eukaryota; Metazoa; Chordata; Mammalia; Perissodactyla; Equidae. The record is from Ensembl.
GAGUAUCACCCCGCAGAUGACUUGAUUAUGAACAAGAAAAAUAUACCUUACAAUGAAGAAAUCCAGCAGUCACCAACUUAACUUAGUGAUCACGCUUAGCACUACUAAUGGUGGAACAACCUGGCUUUAUAGGCCUCUUGAUUUGAUGCAACAUGAUGUAACAGUAUCACCUAUGAAGGAACCUUGCCAAAAGUGCUUAACCUGAAUAUAAUCAAGCCUUUUGACCCAACUUCCAGUUUACAGGAAAUGCACGGAGAGAGGAACAACUACAAUGAUCCUGGGAGGAGAAUCAGACAAAUCCAGAAUGUGGGACAUUCUAUAAGAAAACUGGCCUAAAUUCUUCAACAGGGAGUUGAAAGUGAUUUUUCCACUUUGUGUGCAGAGAAAAGAAACUUCACUGGGCAAGAAUUUCCUUUGAUAACUCCUCCCUCUAGCACACACACCUGAAAAUUGUUUGUGUUAACUCAUCAUUGAAAAGAUAAAAAAAACUUGAGUAUACUAAAAUUUAAAUUAGGUAUACAACCAAAAGGAUCAUUAAAAGUUAGAGACAACCCAUAGACCACAAGAAAAUAUUUGCAAUAAAGAAUUAGUAAGCAGAAUAUUAAAAAAAAUCCUACACGUCAUUAAGAAAACAGAUAAAUAACCCAAUAGAAAAGUGGAAAGAAUGAGGAGGAGGAAGAAGAGAAGAUGUGAACAAACCAUUUACAAAAGAAAAAAACAAAUGGCCAAUAAACAUAUGAAAAAUACUCAAGCUUAUGAAUAAUCAGGGCUAUGCCAACAAAAAUUAUAACUCAUCAAAUGGAAGAAAAUUUAAAUCUGAAAAAGACCCAGAAAAUGGUAAGACUCAUGCACAACUGAUAGGAGUACAUAUUGUUAUAUCCACUUUGGAGAGCAAGUUGUCAUUAUCUAAUAAGUUGAAGGUGGGCACUUAUCGUGAGCCAACAACUCCACUCUGAGAGAAGCUCUUGUAGAUAUAAUAUGGAGGCACAUAAAUUUUAUUACAGCUUGAUUUUAAAAACAAAAAAUGUAAAAAUAACAACCUGAAUAUCUAUCAACAGGAAAAUGGAGGAAAAAAUGUGGUGCAUUUAUUUAAUGGAUGAAUAAAUACUUAUGAAAUUAAUGAAAAUGAAUGAACUAGAGGUACAUGGGUCAAUAUGGCUAAAUCUCAAAAACAAUAUUCAGCAAAAAAAAGCAAAUUGCAGAGUAAUAUGUACAAAUUUUAAAGGCAUGCAAAAAUAUGUUGUUUAUGGGAAUGCAUGUAUAGUAAAAGUAUGAGACCAUGCAUGGGAAUGAAACACACCAAAUUCAUGAUGGUUGUUGUCUGGGAGGAAGAAAGAGGGGCAUCGGGAUCAGAGAGUGGUACCCAGGAGACCGUCCACUAUAUCUGUAAUAUUUUAUUUCUUUAAUAUAUAAUGUUUAAUGUACUUAAAAAGAAGAAGAAGAGGGGCCGGCCCGGUGGCACAGUGGUUAAGUUCCCACACUCCACUUUGGUGGCCCAGGUACACUGGUUUGGAUCCCAGGCGCAGAACCUAUGCAUUGCUUAUCAAGUCAUGCUGUGGUGGCAUCCCACACAUAAAAUAGAGGAAGAUGGGCACAGAUGUUAGCUCAGGGCCAGUCUUCCUUAACAAAAGGAGGAGGCUUGGUGGCUGACGUUAGCUCAGGGCUAAUCUGCCUCAAAAAAAAAAAAAAAAAAGGAAAAAGAAGAAGAGAAAAUCAAAAUCUCCUAGGAGUCUUCAUGAUAUAUUUAUUUAAAAAUAUGUAAGUUCUGUAUAAGGCCUCUUUUGUAAAUCUUAGGAAAAGGUACCCAACACCACUGAGGCAUGGCUUGGAUACUACAUUAAUAAAAAGUGCCAACAUUGCCCCACACCAGUGCUUAUGACUUGGAGAGCAGAAUUCCCUGCUCAUUCAGGGGGUCCUCAUAAACAGAACAUAACCUCUACAACCAUAUAUAGCAGCCCUGACUAUAUCAAAUGAACAAAUCCAUCUUCUCCUCCUUCCUUGCAUCUCAAAGAGUGAGAUCUCCUUCCUCCUGCCCAUGGCAAACCCCUCCAGCUGGGCUGAGCUCCUCUAUCAUUAUGCCCUGUUCCCACAGCUUUAGCCUACUACUUCCCCACUAGCUCUUUCUCCCAGCCUUUGACCCUAUAUUUCUAUUUGCUGCUGUUUCAUAUGCUACUGUGAUCUUGUUUGCUCUUCCAGCACAUCACCGAAAUGACUGUCAUCCACAAAAUCACCAAGGCCCUUCUAACUCAAAAGCAGAGAGCCACUCUGCAGUUCUCACCUCACUUGCUCCUUGCAAUAUUUGACAUAUUCUUUAUGGAAACUCCCCUUGUGGCUUCUGUGACAUUAUUCCUCUCUUGGAUUUCCUGUUUGGCUGCUGGGAACUUGGUCUAUUUUAUGGGCCUUGUUUUACUACCCAGCCUGUGAAUGCUACUGUUCCUUCCUCAUCCAUGUUUUCUUCUCACUCUCUUCUAUUCAAGUAGCUUUAACAUUCACUUAAUAAAUAUUUAUUGAACACCUACUCCAUUCCAGGCUCUUUUCUCAGUGCUAGGGAUACAGCUAUGAUAAGGCCUUGCCCUCAUGGAGUUGCAAUCUAGUGAGGGAACACUGACAGCAACAACUGUUUUUUUUUUUUGGUGAGGAAGAGCAGCCCUGAGCUAACACCUGUUGCCAAUCUUCCUCUAUUUUGUAUGUGGGACACUGCCACAGCAUGGCUUGAUGAGCAGUGUGUAGGUCCAUGCCCAGAAUCUGAACCCACGAACCCCGGGCAGCCAAAGCAGAGUGCGCCAGCUUAACCACU